This 460-nucleotide ribosomal RNA is filed under the name uncultured bacterium. RNAcentral describes it as "partial 16S ribosomal RNA". It matches the Rfam family "Bacterial small subunit ribosomal RNA", at positions 338 to 795 of the family's 1533-position model. The record is from RNAcentral.
CCUACGGGAGGCAGCAGUGAGGAAUAUUGGUCAAUGGACGCAAGUCUGAACCAGCCAAGCCGCGUGCAGGAAGACGGCUCUAUGAGUUGUAAACUGCUUUUGUACGAGGGUAAACGCAGAUACGUGUAUCUGUCUGAAAGUAUCGUACGAAUAAGGAUCGGCUAACUCCGUGCCAGCAGCCGCGGUAAUACGGAGGAUUCAAGCGUUAUCCGGAUUUAUUGGGUUUAAAGGGUGCGUAGGCGGUCGGAUAAGUUAGCGGGUAAAUCCCGAGGCUCAACUUCGGAAUUGCCUCUGAUACUGUUCUUCUAGAGAGUAGUUGCGGUAGGCGGAAUGUAUGGUGUAGCGGUGAAAUGCUUAGAGAUCAUACAGAACACCGAUUGCGAAGGCAGUUUACCAGGCUACUUCUGACGUUGAGGCACGAAAGCGUGGGUAGCAAACAGGAUUAGAUACCCCUGUAGUC